RNAcentral lists this transfer RNA (84 nucleotides) under Verrucomicrobiota bacterium. RNAcentral describes it as "Verrucomicrobia bacterium (freshwater metagenome) tRNA-Leu". It matches the Rfam family "tRNA". From Rfam's summary of the family: Transfer RNA (tRNA) molecules are approximately 80 nucleotides in length. Their secondary structure includes four short double-helical elements and three loops (D, anti-codon, and T loops). Further hydrogen bonds mediate the characteristic L-shaped molecular structure. tRNAs have two regions of fundamental functional importance: the anti-codon, which is responsible for specific mRNA codon recognition, and the 3' end, to which the tRNAs corresponding amino acid is attached (by aminoacyl-tRNA synthetases). tRNAs cope with the degeneracy of the genetic code in two manners: having more than one tRNA (with a specific anti-codon) for a particular amino acid; and 'wobble' base-pairing, i.e. permitting non-standard base-pairing at the 3rd anti-codon position. Lineage: Bacteria; Pseudomonadati; Verrucomicrobiota. The record is from RNAcentral.
GGGCGAGUGGUGAAAUGGCAGACACGAGGGUCUUAGGAGCCCUUGGCGCAAGCCGUGCAGGUUCAAGUCCUGUCUCGCCCACCA